AAAGCACUUGUAGCUUUUGGACCCUUUGGUUGGCUUUUGGCUUUUACAAAAGCAAAAGCAGGUUCAAAAGCCCAACCAAAGGGACCUUAAAUGUCGAUGAUGGCUAUCCAUAAACCUACUCUAGAUUGGAAUGGUACAAGCGCUUCACAACUCUCAUAAGCAGUUGUCGAAAAAGAUCAAGUCCGAGGAUCCGGUCAUGGCAUCAUAUCAUCAAACAAAUCACGUCGAUAACAGGAGGUGAGACAGUUUUAAAAUGAUUCUUAGGCGAGUCUCCGUGGCCCGUUUUAAUGCACUGUUUCCAAAACAAAUCCGC
Molecule: long non-coding RNA, 313 nt
Filed under: Sorghum bicolor (sorghum)
Lineage: Eukaryota; Viridiplantae; Streptophyta; Magnoliopsida; Poales; Poaceae
Description: long non-coding RNA (SBIC_LNC015042)
Source: RNAcentral